This 377-nucleotide unclassified non-coding RNA is filed under the name uncultured Gammaproteobacteria bacterium. RNAcentral's name for it is "contains 16S-23S intergenic spacer region". The record is from RNAcentral. Lineage: Bacteria; Pseudomonadati; Pseudomonadota; Gammaproteobacteria.
UCCGGUUUAUCACCGGCAGUCUCCUUAGAGUCCCCAACUAAAUGAUGGCAACUAAGGAUAAGGGUUGCGCUCGUUACGGGACUUAACCCAACAUCUCACAACACGAGCUGACGACAGCCAUGCAGCACCUGUCUCAAAGUUCCUUUCGGCACAACCGCAUCUCUGCAGUCUUCUUUGGAUGUCAAGGGUAGGUAAGGUUCUUCGCGUUGCAUCGAAUUAAACCACAUGCUCCACCGCUUGUGCGGGCCCCCGUCAAUUCCUUUGAGCUUUAAUCUUGCGACCGUACUCCCCAGGCGGAAAACUUAUCGCGUUAGCUCCGAUACAGAUCAGUCUAAGCUGAACUACAUCUAGUUUUCAUCGUUUACAGCGUGGACUAC